RNAcentral lists this ribosomal RNA (375 nucleotides) under uncultured organism. RNAcentral describes it as "partial 16S ribosomal RNA". It matches the Rfam family "Bacterial small subunit ribosomal RNA", at positions 527 to 896 of the family's 1533-position model. The record is from RNAcentral.
GUAGGUGGCAAGCGUUGUCCGGAAUUAUUGGGCGUAAAGCGCGCGCAGGCGGUUCUUUAAGUCUGAUGUGAAAGCCCACGGCUCAACCGUGGAGGGUCAUUGGAAACUGGAGAACUUGAGUACAGAAGAGGAAAGCGGAAUUCCACGUGUAGCGGUGAAAUGCGUAGAGAUGUGGAGGAACACCAGUGGCGAAGGCGGCUUUUCUGGUCUGUAACUGACGCUGAGGCGCGAAAGCGUGGGGAGCAAACAGGGAUUAGAUACCCUGGUAGUCCACGCCGUAAACGAUGAGUGCUAAGUGUUAGGGGGGUUUCCGCCCCCUUAGUGCUGCAGCUAACGCAUUAAGCACUCCCGCCUGGGGAUACGGCCGCAAGGCUG